CUCGCUAUUACCGGUAGUGCCAGAAUCUUCUCCCGCGUCUCGACGCAUUCGCAGUGUUUGAACAUUGCUUUGAAAUAUUCGCCAAUAUCUCAACCGUCCAAGAUUGUCCGCAUUCGAGUGCUGUUUGUACUAAUCCUGCCGCUCCGAGGCUCGAGGUUAGAUUAGCGUCCUAAACACGAUCGAGCAGGAGAUCCACUGUUCGAUCGAUAACAUCGGUGAGCAGGCGAAUGAUAUUUUGGCGUAUCUCUCUCGGAAAUAUCGUCGCAUUAGUUGUUCUCGGCGAGUCGUCGCCGCAUAAUCGUGAGUGUGCAUAUAAGCGAUGCAAUCGUAGUUGGCAAUGGUUAUACAAAAUGACGUCCAUGAGCACGAUCGAAUAGACGAUGCAGUGGUCAACGACAUCGAUGAGCAAAUAUGAAAUUAUACGAAAUAGCACUUAUGAACACGAUCAAGCAGGAAAUGCAGUAGUUGGUCAAUGAUAUCGGUGGGUUCGAGCUACAUCAAAUAGCUCCCAUGAAUUAGCUGGAUUAACUGGAAAUCCAAUGCCUGGAUUCAUCAAUGCUAGUAUCAACGAUAUCAACGAUAUCGGUGAGUGUGUGAAUAAUAUUUGUAUCUCUUCGAAAUUCCAUCGAAUCGGCCACUUUUAACGAGUCGUCACCACA
Odontomachus brunneus is the source of this 659-nucleotide long non-coding RNA. RefSeq lists it as uncharacterized. Lineage: Eukaryota; Metazoa; Arthropoda; Insecta; Hymenoptera; Formicidae. The record is from RefSeq and is a predicted model, not a curated record. The transcript has 5 exons.